Bombyx mori (domestic silkworm) is the source of this 67-nucleotide non-coding RNA. The record is from Rfam. Lineage: Eukaryota; Metazoa; Arthropoda; Insecta; Lepidoptera; Bombycidae.
ACAACAUUCGGACCGUCGGUCUACCGAGCAAUAUCAUCCGCUCGGUGGAAGAUCUUCCCUUUGUUGU